Pelobates cultripes (western spadefoot toad) is the source of this 233-nucleotide non-coding RNA. The record is from the annotation of a GenBank genome assembly. NCBI's taxonomy places the organism in Eukaryota, Metazoa, Chordata, Amphibia, Anura, Pelobatidae.
CAGCUCGCCAUGCUAGAGCACUUUUUCAUUGUGCUCCCCAACGAGAAGGCGACGACGCAUUCGUAUGUCAAUCCAUAUCAACUUUCGAUGCCAUUGACUGCGCCUACCAUGGUGACCAUGGGCAACGGGGAAUCAGGGUUCCAUUCCGUACAGGGACCCUGACAAAUGGCUACCACAUGCAAGGAAGGCAGCAGGCACGCAAAUGACCCACUCCCUACGCGGGAAGGUAGUGA